GAUGAACGCUGGCGGCGUGCUUAACACAUGCAAGUCGAGCGAAGCACUUAAGUUCGAUUCUUCGGAUGAAGACUUUUGUGACUGAGCGGCGGACGGGUGAGUAACGCGUGGGUAACCUGCCUCAUACAGGGGGAUAACAGUUAGAAAUGGCUGCUAAUACCGCAUAAGACCACAGUACUGCAUGGUACAGUGGUAAAAACUCCGGUGGUAUGAGAUGGACCCGCGUCUGAUUAGGUAGUUGGUGAGGUAACGGCCCACCAAGCCGACGAUCAGUAGCCGACCUGAGAGGGUGACCGGCCACAUUGGGACUGAGACACGGCCCAGACUCCUACGGGAGGCAGCAGUGGGGAAUAUUGCACAAUGGGCGAAAGCCUGAUGCAGCGACGCCGCGUGAAGGAUGAAGUAUUUCGGUAUGUAAACUUCUAUCAGCAGGGAAGAAAAUGACAGU
This 448-nucleotide ribosomal RNA is filed under the name uncultured bacterium. RNAcentral describes it as "bacterial SSU rRNA". It matches the Rfam family "Bacterial small subunit ribosomal RNA", at positions 28 to 458 of the family's 1533-position model. The record is from RNAcentral.